GAUGAACGCUGGCGGCGUGCCUAAUACAUGCAAGUCGAGCGAACGGACGAGAAGCUUGCUUCUCUGAUGUUAGCGGCGGACGGGUGAGUAACACGUGGAUAACCUACCUAUAAGACUGGGAUAACUUCGGGAAACCGGAGCUAAUACCGGAUAAUAUUUUGAACCGCAUGGUUCAAAAGUGAAAGACGGUCUUGCUGUCACUUAUAGAUGGAUCCGCGCUGCAUUAGCUAGUUGGUAAGGUAACGGCUUACCAAGGCAACGAUGCAUAGCCGACCUGAGAGGGUGAUCGGCCACACUGGAACUGAGACACGGUCCAGACUCCUACGGGAGGCAGCAGUAGGGAAUCUUCCGCAAUGGGCGAAAGCCUGACGGAGCAACGCCGCGUGAGUGAUGAAGGUCUUCGGAUCGUAAAACUCUGUUAUUAGGGAAGAACAUAUGUGUAAGUAACUGUGCACAUCUUGACGGUACCUAAUCAGAAAGCCACGGCUAACUACGUGCCAGCAGCCGCGGUAAUACGUAGGUGGCAAGCGUUAUCCGGAAUUAUUGGGCGUAAAGCGCGCGUAGGUGGUUUUUUAAGUCUGAUGUGAAAGCCCACGGCUCAACCGUGGAGGGUCAUUGGAAACUGGAAAACUUGAGUGCAGAAGAGGAAAGUGGAAUUCCAUGUGUAGCGGUGAAAUGCGCAGAGAUAUGGAGGAACACCAGUGGCGAAGGCGACUUUCUGGUCUGUAACUGACGCUGAUGUGCGAAAGCGUGGGGAUCAAACAGGAUUAGAUACCCUGGUAGUCCACGCCGUAAACGAUGAGUGCUAAGUGUUAGGGGGUUUCCGCCCCUUAGUGCUGCAGCUAACGCAUUAAGCACUCCGCCUGGGGAGUACGACCGCAAGGUUGAAACUCAAAGGAAUUGACGGGGACCCGCACAAGCGGUGGAGCAUGUGGUUUAAUUCGAAGCAACGCGAAGAACCUUACCAAAUCUUGACAUCCUUUGACAACUCUAGAGAUAGAGCCUUCCCCUUCGGGGGACAAAGUGACAGGUAGUGCAUGGUUGUCGUCAGCUCGUGUCGUGAGAUGUUGGGUUAAGUCCCGCAACGAGCGCAACCCUUAAGCUUAGUUGCCAUCAUUAAGUUGGGCACUCUAAGUUGACUGCCGGUGACAAACCGGAGGAAGGUGGGGAUGACGUCAAAUCAUCAUGCCCCUUAUGAUUUGGGCUACACACGUGCUACAAUGGACAAUACAAAGGGCAGCGAAACCGCGAGGUCAAGCAAAUCCCAUAAAGUUGUUCUCAGUUCGGAUUGUAGUCUGCAACUCGACUACAUGAAGCUGGAAUCGCUAGUAAUCGUAGAUCAGCAUGCUACGGUGAAUACGUUCCCGGGUCU
RNAcentral lists this ribosomal RNA (1372 nucleotides) under uncultured bacterium. RNAcentral's name for it is "bacterial SSU rRNA". It matches the Rfam family "Bacterial small subunit ribosomal RNA", at positions 28 to 1381 of the family's 1533-position model. The record is from RNAcentral.